RNAcentral lists this ribosomal RNA (535 nucleotides) under uncultured bacterium. RNAcentral's name for it is "bacterial SSU rRNA". It matches the Rfam family "Archaeal small subunit ribosomal RNA", at positions 724 to 1257 of the family's 1478-position model. The record is from RNAcentral.
AGUGAAUAGAUACCCCGGUAGUCCCAGCUGUAAACGAUGCGCGUUAGGUGUAUCGGUGACCACGAGUCACCGAGGUGCCGAAAGAGAAAUCGUGAAACGUGCCGCCUGGGAAGUACGGUCGCAAGGCUGAAACUUAAAGGAAUUGGCGGGGGAGCACCACAACAGGUGGAGCCUGCGGUUUAAUCGGACUCAACGCCGGGAAGCUCACCGGAUAAGACAGCUGAAUGAUAGCCGGGUUGAAGACUCUGCUUGACUAGCUGAGAGGAGGUGCAUGGCCGUCGUCAGUUCGUACUGUGAAGCAUCCUGUUAAGUCAGGCAACGAGCGAGACCCACGCCAACAGUUGCCAGCAUGUCCUCCGGGAUGGUGGGGACACUGUUGGGACCGCCUCUGCUAAAGAGGAGGAAGGAAUGGGCAACGGUAGGUCAGCAUGCCCCGAAUUAUCCGGGCUACACGCGGGCUACAAUGGUCAGGACAAUGGGUAUCAACACCGAAAGGUGAAGGCAAUCUCCUAAACCUGUCCUUAGUUCGGAUUGU